RNAcentral lists this long non-coding RNA (1415 nucleotides) under Homo sapiens (human). RNAcentral's name for it is "HSALNT0137757". Lineage: Eukaryota; Metazoa; Chordata; Mammalia; Primates; Hominidae. The record is from RNAcentral.
GCUGCCUUUACUGAUAGCCUCAAAUUGGAGUUUCUUCCUUGUGUAAUUUAAGAUGUUGAAAAAUGCAUUUGUACUAAAUGCAUUUAAAUAAGAAACAAAGAUAACACAAUGCUAAUAAGAAGUCUAGAAAUUGUGUGAAGCUACCUUCAUUUUUCUCUGCAAUCUCUUAUUCUCAUUUUCUAAAUUGUAUUACAUCCAGAACUAAAAAUCUUUCUCCCUUCCUUUUUUUCCUUCUUUUCUCCAUCCUUCCCUCAAAUACUUCUUACAAGUUCACUUCUUAAUUGCUUCUAUGCAAAGGGCUGUGCUAGUUGCCUACUCUGCAAAGGUAAAUGAUACCACUCCCUCUCUUCCCCUCAAGGACUUACAGGUGGGAAGGGAGAGCAGAUGCAGGCAUAAAGUAGCACUCCCUCUGAAAGAGGUUAGUGCCGACUGCUGUCAUUAAGUUUUCUUCCUAUGAGAGUUAGAGAAGGUUUAAAAGAGGAAUUACCAGUCUCUUGGGGAGAGGAAAUGAGACUAAAAAAUGACAGAGCAAUGGAAAGGAUGCGGCCUGGACAGGAGUUGGGUAAAACCAACUGGAGAGGAAAUAAUCUAAGUAGAACAGCCCAUCAGCUAUAUGGCUGUUCAUGCUGCUUCUUGGCCAUAGAAUCUCAGAGAAGCCAUUUUGCUCCCCUGUGAGCCCUGUUUUCCCCAUACAUAAAGUGGGUGUGAUAAAAAUGACUUGCCCCAGAGGGCUAAGCCUUAGCAUUUGCCCCUUGCCUGUCUCUGUGGAGUUUACAGCCUUGGCUUAUGCAGGUCUCAGCCUCAUGUCACAUCCCAUGGAGGCCUUUACUUAACAGGCCUUCUAAAAUAAUACUCCAGUCACUCUAUUUUUCUUCAAACUGAUUGUUUGCUUACUGUAUGAUUUCCUGUCUCCCCAACUCAAAUACAAAGCUGUUUCCCCAGUGCUUAUAACAGUAGUUAAAUUCAAUAUUUGUUGCAUGAAGAACAAUAUGUGUACAUUUUUAGCAUAAUACUUCACACAUCAUGUUGAACAUUAUAUGUGCACAUAUAUAGUAUGUAGUGAGUAUUAAAUAUAUGUAUACACACACACUCCUUAAUGCCAUUUGAGUCUGUGUGUUUGUUUUGUUUUGUUUUUGUCUCAUGUCUAUCUCUUCUAUGUUUUUAUUUCUUGGUGAAAUUCCUUUUGAGAAACUUCAGUCCUAUCUCCCUUAAAGGAGGAGUGAGUUGUAGUUGUCCAAACUAACAGAUAACUUGGGGGAGACAGCACAUCCAGAGGCCAGAUCUAGAAGUGCAGAUUUCCAGAUUCCCAACUUUUGGGGGUUCAGUUUCAAAUACUGGAUAUGGGACACCAGCUUUAAGUUUCUCCUUAAAUUAAGAUUGUUUUGAGUUAAAAUUACUCCUUAAUUAUUGCACUG